CCCUUAGAUGUUCUGGGCCGCACGCGCGCUACACUGAUGCAUUCAACGAGCCUAUCCUUGACCGACAGGUCCGGGUAAUCUUUGAAUCUGCAUCGUGACGGGGAUAGAUUAUUGCAAUUAUUAAUCUUCAACGAGGAAUGCCUAGUAGGCGCAAGUCAUCAGCUUGUGUUGAUUACGUCCCUGCCCUUUGUACACACCGCCCGUCGCUCCUACCGAUUGAAUGUUCCGGUGAGCUCUUCGGACUGCGCGGUCUGCAGUUUCUGCGUUCCGUGCGGAAAGUUGCGCAAACCUUAACAUUUAGAGGAAGGAGAAGUCGUAACA
Molecule: ribosomal RNA, 321 nt
Filed under: uncultured eukaryote
Lineage: Eukaryota
Description: partial 18S ribosomal RNA
Rfam family: Eukaryotic small subunit ribosomal RNA
Source: RNAcentral